GACAUACUACCUCCGUCCGGAAAUAUUUGUCCAAAAAAUAAAUGUAUCUAGACUUAUUUUAAUUGUAGAUACAUCAAUUAUAUGUAUUUUUAGGACAAGUAAUUCCGGACGAAGGGAGUAGUAA
Hordeum vulgare subsp. vulgare (domesticated barley) is the source of this 124-nucleotide non-coding RNA. NCBI's taxonomy places the organism in Eukaryota, Viridiplantae, Streptophyta, Magnoliopsida, Poales, Poaceae. The record is from Rfam.